UACAGAGGGGGCAAGCGUUGUUCGGAAUUACUGGGCGUAAAGGGCGCGUAGGCGGCCUUCUAAGUCGAACGUGAAACCCCCAGGCUCAACCUGGGGACGCCACCCGAUACUGCUGUGGCUAGAGUCCAGUAGGGGAGUGUGGAAUUCCUGGUGUAGCGGUGGAAUGCGCAGAUAUCAGGAGGAACACCGGUGGCGAAGGCGGGUCUCUGGGCCGAUACUGACACUGAGGAGCGAAAGCGUGGGGAGCGAACAGG
This 254-nucleotide ribosomal RNA is filed under the name uncultured bacterium. RNAcentral describes it as "partial 16S ribosomal RNA". It matches the Rfam family "Bacterial small subunit ribosomal RNA", at positions 524 to 776 of the family's 1533-position model. The record is from RNAcentral.